Long non-coding RNA from Passer domesticus (house sparrow), 1734 nucleotides. RefSeq lists it as uncharacterized. The record is from RefSeq and is a predicted model, not a curated record. Lineage: Eukaryota; Metazoa; Chordata; Aves; Passeriformes; Passeridae. The transcript is spliced from 6 exons.
AUUUAUAUAAGGUUUUCUCGUAAACUCCAUUACAUAAAUAUAGUAUUAUAGAUAUUACAGACAGAAAGCAUCACAUGGUAGUCAAUCUAAACUUUCUGUAAUAGCCAGUCAAGUUUCCACUUCAGAUGUAUUUGGGAUGUUUAUAACAUUGUUAUUUUAUGUACCUAGAAUUCUGAUAUUUUAUGUGGAUUCUUAAUCCAGACUCAGUUUUAAUGUCCUCAAGUACAUUACAGUUUCUACAUUUUAAAAGUUUAAAUGUGUACAAAAAAUAUAAUUUUCUGUCUUUAAAAAAAAAAAAAAAAAAAAAAAAGUGACAGGCAUUUUUCCAAAACAACUAUUCCCUGGCUUCCUUUUGGACACAGGGAGCUCAUUAAUUAUGCUUUUAAUGAUAAUUUUCUUGAUUUAGAGGGAAAAACAUCUUAGAACAGUAGGUGCUGUGUGGAGAGCACAUUUAUACUGCUCAAAAAGGUAGUUAACCCUUUUCUCUAAGGCUCAUUCAAAAUGCCUAUUUUAGCUUGAUCUUAAUGCCAGCCACAAGCAAACUAUGAGUUACUGUUGCUUUUUCUUGCCUAUGAUCUCAAGGAACUGAGUCAACUGCUUGUGAUUACCAGCACAUGGGAACAUCUUGUACAUGGAAACAUCUUACAGCCAGGCCAGACAGAGCAAAACGUAUCCAGUUUUAUGAGGCUCUCACCUGAAAUGCUACAACCAUGGAAUGUCACCAAGAAGGAAGCAGCUAGUGCUGCACCUGUUUCAAAAGGCUGCAGUAUGGAAAGUUCCUCCACUCGAUAAAGAUGCAACACAUUAUGAACUUGCAAGAGAAAGAGAGCUGUCUACCUGUAUUUCAGAUGGAAUCACCCAGCAUGGGAGGAGUACAACAAAUAAUGUGUCUGUUUGCAUGUUACACUGGAGUAUGUUAAGGGUUGCAGGAGUAUGAAGAAUAGGAUCAACAAAAUGCAGAAACCAGAUCUGAUGUUGCAGGAAAUGGAGCCAGAGUUGAAGAAAAUCAAAGUCAAAUAUGACUAAAACUGAGGGAUGGAAAGGAGUGCAAAGACAGAAAAACACUGGAGUAACAUAGCAUCUCUGCAGGUCACACUACCUGAUCAAAAAGACUGAAUAAGAGCACAGAAUGAUUGGUUCAAGAGAUAUUUCAGACCUCACAGUCCUGCUAACAAGUAAUACCAGGAAUCAAACUCCUAAGGUCUUCAUUCACUUUUUUCUCAGAAUGAAAAUUUUGUGCUAAAAUAGUCCAAUUGUGAUGAAAUCCCAUUGGAAAUCUGCCACCAGACAAGCUUUGAAACUUUUCUUGGUGUUCUGCCAGCUUAUUUCUGCGGUUACUCAAUAAAGCACCUGCUGGGUGCCAUAACCACCAGUUCUUGGUAUUCCAGGAGCAGCAGGACUGGCAGACAGGUGGAUGUUCCUAGCGCCAAAAACCCCAUACUAUUUCCAAGCAAAACCCAAAUUUCUGGGUUUUGAUCUAAGCCAGAGUGAGAACAGUUUUCUAAACAUCAAAAUAUGCCACAAAGAGGACUGAUCAUUUUUCCCCCCUUCCAGCUCUACUUCAAUGUAUUCAAGAAAUUGAAGAAUGAAUGAGUUUGGCAGCAGAAUUUUUUCUGUUCAUUGAAGACUUAAGAAGACAUGAACAGUUGUGUGUUCUGGUUUGGAGGAGUUGUAUUAAUAUGCAAUUCUUUGUGAUCAUUUGGACAUUUUUUUUAAAAUAAAACUUACUUUUAU